GCAAGUCGAGCGAUAUAGCGGCGAACGGGUGAGUAACACGUUGGAACCUGCCCCGGACUCAGGGAUAGCCCGCCGAAAGGUGGAUUAAUACCGGAUAGUCCCGCAAGGGUAAAGCUUUUGCGGUCCGGGAGGGGCCUGCGUAGUAUCAGCUUGUUGGUAGUGUAACGGACUACCAAGGCUACGACGCUUAACUGGUCUGAGAGGAUGAUC
This 210-nucleotide ribosomal RNA is filed under the name uncultured bacterium. RNAcentral's name for it is "partial 16S ribosomal RNA". It matches the Rfam family "Bacterial small subunit ribosomal RNA", at positions 57 to 305 of the family's 1533-position model. The record is from RNAcentral.